RNAcentral lists this long non-coding RNA (764 nucleotides) under Physcomitrium patens. Its description in RNAcentral is "long non-coding RNA (PPAT_LNC014055)". Lineage: Eukaryota; Viridiplantae; Streptophyta; Bryopsida; Funariales; Funariaceae. The record is from RNAcentral.
ACUAUGACCAAGUAACAUUUUAUUUGUUAUUUUAUUUUGUAUAAAUAUGUGAAAAUUUUGUGUUUCAUAAAAUAUUUUAUACUGUAAAUUUAUGCUGUGUAAAAUUAAUCCAAAACAAAAUUACUUGAUCAUCUUUUUGUUUUCUUUAGGUGGAAAUCUUACCUUCUGCCUGUCUUGCUUUCACAAAAAGAAAAUAUUGCUCAAAUUACUUAUAUAUUCUUUGUGCAUUUGGGUGCAACCAACUAUGUAAGUUUAACUCUGAUCUAUUUGUGAGCUAUUUUUUUUGACUCACGAAUAGAUCAGUAUUACUAACAAUCAAAAAAAUUGUUUUGUAAAAAAUAUGAUGCUUAACUUGGAUGCUCUCACUUGCUGCUUUUCCCAUCAAUUGUAACCACAAAUUUAUAAAAAGGUUUAUUUUAAACUAUGAGAAAAGCACCCAUCUCAUUUUAUUCCUCAUCCUCUUAUCCAUUAAAAUAUGAUUUACAAAGCUUCUCUUGCUUCUCACAACAUUAAAGCAAAGAGAACUAUGAGAUGUACCAAAUAGGAUAAAAUGAAAAAAGAAAAGGUAGGGAAUAACUAAAUGUCCAUGAUUGAACCAUGUAUUGUUGACAUUCCAAAUUUCCUAAAGUAGAAAAACUUGAUGUAAUGUGAGUACAAUGUCCACCACAAAAUAUCUGAAAUUAGAAAAAAUGCAUAGUAUAAUUCUAUAAACAACAUGUUCUUGUGCACGGCAUAAUUUUUCAAUAUAUAUAUAUAUAUAUAUA